UCCUACGGGGGGCAGCAGUGAGGAAUAUUGGUCAAUGGUCGGGAGACUGAACCAGCCAAGCCGCGUGAGGGAGGAAGGUACAGAGUAUCGUAAACCUCUUUUGUCAGGGAACAAAGGCGGGGACGUGUCCCCGGAUGAGUGUACCUGAAGAAAAAGCAUCGACUAACUCCGUGCCAGCAGCCGCGGUAAUACGGAGGAUGCGAGCGUUAUCCGGAUUUAUUGGGUUUAAAGGGUGCGCAGGCGGUCUGUUAAGUCAACGGUCAAAGCCCGGGGCUCAACCCCGGCCCGCCGUUGAAACUGGCAGG
RNAcentral lists this ribosomal RNA (305 nucleotides) under uncultured bacterium. Its description in RNAcentral is "bacterial SSU rRNA". It matches the Rfam family "Bacterial small subunit ribosomal RNA", at positions 337 to 640 of the family's 1533-position model. The record is from RNAcentral.